AGCAGCCGCGGUAAUUCCAGCUCCAAUAGCGUAUAUUAAAGUUGCUGCAGUUAAAAAGCUCGUAGUUGAAUUUCGGGACCAUCAUGUCGGUCGUGCCUCGGUACGUACUGGCAUUGUUGGUUUCUACCUUCUGACGAACCAUGAUGUCAUUUAUUGGUGUUAUGGGGAUUAGGACUGUUACUUUGAAAAAAUUAGAGUGUUUAAAGCAGGCUUUAGCUUGAAUACAUUAGCAUGGAAUAAUGAAAUAGGACGUUCGAACCUAUUUUGUUGGUUCCUUAGGAUCAACGUAAUGAUUAAUAGGGAUAGUUGGGGGCAUUAGUAUUCAAUUGUCAGAGGUGAAAUUCUUGGAUUUAUUGAAGACUAACUACUG
Molecule: ribosomal RNA, 370 nt
Filed under: uncultured Glomus
Lineage: Eukaryota; Fungi; Glomeromycota; Glomeromycetes; Glomerales; Glomeraceae
Description: SSU rRNA
Rfam family: Eukaryotic small subunit ribosomal RNA
Source: RNAcentral